GGGACGGAUUCUGGGCGCGUGCGGUGUUCAACAUUAUCGAUCACCUGUGGACCAUCAAAAGCCUGCUCCCAGGUCAUCUUUAUCGUCUUCCUCAGUGGAGUGCUUCCUGUGUUAAUGUCCACAAUAGCCCCAGAGGUCUCUGCUGUUUCCUCCUGAUUUCUCCAAACAACCAUGUCAUCAGAAUCGAGCAAAAAACGGAAGCCCAAAGUGAUCCGGAGUGAUGGAGCUCCAGCUGAAGGGAAGCGUAAUCGUUCUGACACUGAGCAGGAAGGUAAAUACUACAGCGAGGAGGCUGAGGUGGACCUGCGGGACCCUGGCAGAGACUAUGAGCUGUACAAGUACACGUGUCAAGAGUUGCAGAGGCUCAUGGCUGAGAUCCAGGACCUGAAAAGCAGGGGAGGCAAGGAUGUGGCCAUUGAGAUUGAAGAUCGGAGGAUCCAGAGCUGUGUACAUUUCAUGACUCUAAAGAAGCUUAACCGAUUAGCCCACAUCAGGUUGAAGAAAGGAAGAGAUCAGACCCAUGAGGCCAAGCAGAAAGUGGAUGCCUAUCACCUGCAGCUCCAGAACCUGUUGUAUGAGGUGAUGCACCUGCAGAAGGAGAUCACCAAAUGUCUGGAGUUUAAGUCAAAGCAUGAAGAAAUUGACCUGGUCAGCUUGGAGGAGUUUUAUAAGGAGGCUCCUCCAGAUAUCAGUAAAGCCGAAGUCACCAUGGGAGACCCUCACCAGCAAACUCUUGCACGUCUGGACUGGGAGCUGGAGCAGCGGAAAAGGCUGGCAGAGAAGUACCGAGAGUGCUUAUCCAACAAGGAGAAGAUCCUCAAGGAGAUUGAGGUGAAGAAGGAGUACCUGAGCAGCCUCCAGCCCCGACUCAACAGCAUCAUGCAGGCUUCCCUCCCAGUGCAAGAGUACCUGUUUAUGCCCUUCGACCAGGCUCACAAGCAGUAUGAGACAGCCAGACACCUACCACCUCCCCUCUAUGUCCUCUUUGUCCAGGCCACUGCAUAUGGGCAGGCCUGUGGUGAGUAUGGGGUCUGGGCAGGGAAGAGGGGCUAUGGGAGCAGCAGCCAUGGCCAUUUGAGUCAUUUGGAAGCACUGCCUGCUGAGGAAAGCUUCCUGGCCCUGCUCCAAAGUCCUCAGGUGACAGACGCUGCCUCCCCUCUGCACUGCCCAGCAUGGCUGCUUUGACCAGCUGGCCUGAGGCUGGACUAACCUGAUGGGCAUUUUAGAAUGGAUGGCUUUGUAUCUUUGAUGAGCCUGACUUGUCAGCUAUUGGGUUCUGUGCCCAGGCAGCCUGUCUGGGCUCCCAAGUGCUCACCUCAUAAAGGCACGCUUGGCAGGUGGAUCGGUGCCUCUUGCUUGCUUCAGAGAGAGGGAUUGGUGACCAUAGGUCCCCAGCAGCUCUCCCAGGCUUUCGCCCCCUGGAGCAGGUUGCAUGUCCUUAUAGUAAAUUACCAGGGCAAAAGAUGUGUCCUCACUAAGCUUGAAGGCAGCCUGUGACUCCACUAGGAUUUUGAGAAGCUCGGAGACCCUAUCUCUUUCUCCCUACUGCAGCUUUCACCCAGCACCUAAACUUUUCUUCCCUACCUCCAGCCCCACUCCACAGCAUCAGGCAGAUACAUUGCACCAGCGCAUGCCUCUCCUCCCAGCCAUGAGCAUCAGCACAUUAUUGUCUCUCUUCUUGUGUCUUUCUGGUCCUUUUGGCCCUCUCCCUCCCCUUUGUUCUCCCUCCUGUUUUCAUCAUCAGCUCAUAUGAAAUCCUCCCAGCCCCCUAGACAGGGUGAGUAAUUUUCUUUUCUUCUGUGUUUUAAAUCCAGCCUGUUUGAAUUCCCAUUUUACUGUAGAAUUUCAGGAGUAAACUAGUCUUGUCAGUGUUUGGGGCAAUCAGAUUGUUUGGGAUGAGGUAUGAUGAUUCAGGCAGGGCUGUCAGAGAUAAGCAGUGGUCAGCCACCUGGGAUUAUUAUCGCAGGGGCCUGCCACUUGGGUGAAGUUUGUCAUCCCUCCAUAUGCACUUAGGCAAACUCUUUUAGGCCCCUGUGACAGUCUGCAUAUCUGUGUACCUUUUUGAAUGGAGCUGGAAGGUUGAUGGCCUGUCUGACCGCUAAACCCAUGGAGUUGCACAAAGACAGGCCCACACAUCACUUAGCGAGGUUCAGGCUGGGCACAGGGAGCAGGCUGCUUAGCUUUAUGUUUGAGACACCAAGCUCAAGUUGAAUAGACCUGGUCUUGAAUCCUAGUUAAUCUAGUUCACAGUGGUUGUAUCUAACUUCCCCAAGCCUUAAUUUUCUCAUCUGUAAAUGGCUAGAGUAGUAGUAUUGCUUUUAUAGGGUUGUUGUGAGAAUUAAAUAUUAAUUUUAAGAGUAAUUUUAUAAUUAAAAUUAUGAGUAUGCAUUCAGUCCUCAUUACCCAGCUGGACAGCUACCAUUUGUCAAGUCCUCUUUUUUUUUUUUUUUUGCCACCAAAAAAAAAAAAAAAGGCAGUCGGCAGAAUUGUGCCAUGUGGCUUUAGGCCAUUGGUGGUGUGGAUUUUAGUAUUUUAGUGCCUUGAUGUAAGCCCGAAAAGAGAAGCAUUCACUACUACUCUAGGGUAACGCUUGGCCAUUAAUCUGCACUUUGGGUUCUUUGUUCUAAGUAAAUGAUGGAAGGAAGACUUAGCUUUCCCCUUCUUGCUCUUCUUCAUCUGGAGAAAGGGCUUUGGCCCUCUAGCCCCAGUUAGUAAGGAGCUGUGACAGGCGGAGGGGAUAGAGCCGCCGGGCCAGCCUGCUGGCCUAGCUCAGUGCCUUCUCUCAGCAGCUUUCACAGGAAGCUCUCUCUUACUCCCAGAUAAGACGCUGUCUGUGGCGAUAGAAGGCAGCGUGGACGAAGCCAAGGCUCUAUUCAAGCCUCCUGAGGACUCCCAAGGUAACUCAGUGGUCAGGGUCUUCCCUGUGUCUUCCUAGCUGGUUCCAGGGACACCAGGUCACUGCCCAGGGCCAGUGCUGGUCCUUUGGAAAUUAGCUGUACUGGUUUGUUGUAGCCAGGAGCAUGGCUUUAAUGUCUCAGUGCAGGGUAGGCAGGGGAAAACCACUGCCUUUGAAUUCCAGCCUGCCACUCACUAGCUCAUUGACCCUGGGGAAGCUCCUUAACAUUUUGGAGCUUCAGUUGACUCAUGUCAAAACAAGAUAUUAAUACCUCAUGUAGAAUCUUUAUGUGGAUUAAAUAGGUCAUGCAUGUAGAGCACAUAGCAACCCCCCAAAUUAUAUGAGCUGCUUUUAUUGUUGUUUUUAUUGCCAUUCUUAUUACCACCGUCACCAUCAGUGGAGGAGCUCGUGGGCCAUAGAAUGACAUUAAAAAGCACUUCAAAAAACCAGGGGUGAUGGAAUUGUAAGCCAUUUUUCUUUUCUUUGUAUCACCGUAUUUUCUGUACUGAAUAAGAAGCAGCAAAUUCAUUUAUUACUAUUUCUGAAGAAAUCCAUUUACAAAAGUCUGGGCCCUUUUACGCCCUUGGGGAUGAGAUGCUCCUGGGAGAAUUGGGAGCCCUCUCCCCUAGCUGCCUUCUUUCUGUGGCUGCAGAUGACGAGAGCGACUCGGAUGCUGAGGAGGAACAGACCACGAAACGCCGGCGACCCACUCUGGGAGUUCAGCUGGACGACAAACGCAAGGAGAUGCUGAAGAGGCACCCGCUGUCCGUCAUGCUGGACCUGAAAUGCAAAGAUGACAGUGUCCUGCACCUGACUUUCUACUACCUCAUGAACCUCAACAUCAUGACAGUAAAAGCCAAAGUGACAACCGCCACAGAGCUGAUCACCCCCAUCAGUGCAGGUGACUUGCUGUCUCCUGACUCAGUCCUAAGCUGUCUGUAUCCUGGGGAUCAUGGAAAGAAAACUCCAAAUCCAGCCAAUCAGUAUCAGUUUGACAAAGUUGGCAUCCUGACUUUGAGAGACUACGUACUUGACCUAGGUCACCCCUAUUUGUGGGUGCAGAAGCUGGGUGGUCUCCACUUCCCCAAAGAGCAGCCCCAGCACACUGUGGUCGCUGACCACUCGCUGAGCGCCAGCCACAUGGAGACCACCAUGAAGCUGCUGAAGACCAGGGUGCAGUCCCGCCUGGCCCUCCACAAGCAGUUUGCCUCCCUGGAACAUGGCAUCGUGCCAGUUACCAGUGAUUGCCAGUACCUCUUCCCUGCAAAGGUCGUCUCUCGCCUGAUGAAGUGGGUGGCAAUUGCCCAUGAGGAUUACAUGGAGCUGCAUUUCACCAAAGACAUUGUGGAGGCGGGACUGGCCGGGGACACCAAUCUCUACUACAUGGCACUCGUGGAAAGGGGCACAGCUAAGCUCCAGGCGGCCGUGGUGCUGAACCCUGGCUACUCCUCCAUCCCGCCCAUUUUCCAGCUCUGUCUGAACUGGAAAGGGGAGAAAACCAACAGCAACGAUGACAAUAUUCGGGCCAUGGAGAGCGAGGUCAACGUUUGCUACAAAGAGCUGUGUGGCCCCCGGCCCAGCCACCAGCUCUUGACCAACCAGCUGCAGCGCCUGUGCGUGCUGUUGGACGUCUACCUGGAGACGGAGAGCCACGACGACAGUGUGGAGGGGCCCAAGGAAUUUCCCCAGGAGAAGAUGUGUCUGAGGCUUUUCAGGGGUCCCAGCAGGAUGAAGCCGUUUAAAUAUAACCAUCCUCAAGGAUUCUUCAGCCAUCGCUGACCUCCCACUUAGCUAUUGUCCGCCUCCAGACCCCAGUACUGCACUUCUUUCUGAUCUGGCACACAUGUGGCUCUUGAUAUUCUCCAAAGACAGGUUUUCUAUUUGUAGCCUAUUAAAGUGUCACCUGACCGA
This 4807-nucleotide long non-coding RNA is filed under the name Sus scrofa (pig). RNAcentral's name for it is "lncRNA (ENSSSCG00030042246.1)". The record is from RNAcentral. Lineage: Eukaryota; Metazoa; Chordata; Mammalia; Artiodactyla; Suidae.